AACCCCUACCGUUUAGUUGCUAAACGCGUGAAGGCGAGCACUCUAGACGAACUGCCGUUGACAAAACGGAGGAAGGUGGGGAUGACGUCAAAUCAUCAUGCCCCUUAUGUUCUGGGCUACACACGUGCUACAAUGGCCGGUACAGACGGACGCAAAGCCGCGAGGUGGAGCAAAUCCUAAAAAGCCGGUCUCAGUUCGGAUUGCAGGCUGCAAUUCGCCUGCAUGAAGUCGGAAUCGCUAGUAAUCGCAGGUCAGCAUACUGCGGUGAAUACGUUCCCGGGCCUU
This 285-nucleotide ribosomal RNA is filed under the name uncultured Bacillus sp. RNAcentral describes it as "partial 16S ribosomal RNA". It matches the Rfam family "Bacterial small subunit ribosomal RNA", at positions 1100 to 1382 of the family's 1533-position model. Lineage: Bacteria; Bacillati; Bacillota; Bacilli; Caryophanales; Bacillaceae. The record is from RNAcentral.